GGAAUGAGGCAGGUCACCUGGCCAUGUACGAGCUUAUUAUGUCUAUGUGCGAGAAGACAAGUCAAGGCCCUCCGUCGAUGCCUGUCUUCUCUGCGAUUGGAACGAAUAACUCCCGAGCAAGAUCACACGACCCUUCUCCAGGGC
Long non-coding RNA from Hordeum vulgare subsp. vulgare (domesticated barley), 144 nucleotides. RefSeq lists it as uncharacterized. NCBI's taxonomy places the organism in Eukaryota, Viridiplantae, Streptophyta, Magnoliopsida, Poales, Poaceae. The transcript is spliced from 3 exons. The record is from RefSeq and is a predicted model, not a curated record.